This 50-nucleotide non-coding RNA is filed under the name Marinobacter similis. RNAcentral describes it as "Guanidine-II sequence". It matches the Rfam family "Guanidine-II riboswitch aptamer (mini-ykkC)". From Rfam's summary of the family: Simpler in structure and has fewer highly conserved nucleotide positions than the ykkC-yxkD leader. Despite this each of its two stem-loop structures directly bind free guanidine. The record is from Rfam by way of RNAcentral. Lineage: Bacteria; Pseudomonadati; Pseudomonadota; Gammaproteobacteria; Pseudomonadales; Marinobacteraceae.
UACUGGGGACGACCCCACCCUUCCCGGGAACUGAACGCGGGACGACCCGC